RNAcentral lists this ribosomal RNA (583 nucleotides) under fungal sp. ARIZ B165. Its description in RNAcentral is "eukaryotic LSU rRNA". The stretch from base 204 to 357 matches the Rfam family "5.8S ribosomal RNA". Lineage: Eukaryota; Fungi. The record is from RNAcentral. RNAcentral also lists the same sequence under 3 other names.
UGGAAGUAAAAGUCGUAACAAGGUCUCCGUUGGUGAACCAGCGGAGGGAUCAUUACCGAGUUUACAACUCCCAAACCCCUGUGAACAUACCAAUUGUUGCCUCGGCGGAUCAGCCCGCUCCCGGUAAAACGGGACGGCCCGCCAGAGGACCCCUAAACUCUGUUUCUAUAUGUAACUUCUGAGUAAAACCAUAAAUAAAUCAAAACUUUCAACAACGGAUCUCUUGGUUCUGGCAUCGAUGAAGAACGCAGCAAAAUGCGAUAAGUAAUGUGAAUUGCAGAAUUCAGUGAAUCAUCGAAUCUUUGAACGCACAUUGCGCCCGCCAGUAUUCUGGCGGGCAUGCCUGUUCGAGCGUCAUUUCAACCCUCAAGCCCUCGGGUUUGGUGUUGGGGAUCGGCGAGCCCUUGCGGCAAGCCGGCCCCGAAAUCUAGUGGCGGUCUCGCUGCAGCUUCCAUUGCGUAGUAGUAAAACCCUCGCAACUGGUACGCGGCGCGGCCAAGCCGUUAAACCCCCAACUUCUGAAUGUUGACCUCGGAUCAGGUAGGAAUACCCGCUGAACUUAAGCAUAUCAAUAAGCGGAGGA